AGGGAGUCCCUCCCUCUAAAAGCACUCUGUGUGGGGAACAUGAGAGCCAGACCAAAGCUCAGAGGAACCCACCUGGACCUCCACCCAGCUCUGUGUCCUUACACAGUGACUGGUCUGAAGAUCGUCCCAUUCAUUUUAAAGUCCAGCCUGUGUCUGCUGCAGAGAGGAACCCACCUGGACCUCCACCCAGCUCUGUGUCCUUAAGCAGUGACUGGUCUGAAGAUCGUCCCAUUCAUUUUAAAGUCCAGCAGGUGUCUGCUGCAGAGAGGAUCAAAGGGAGACCUGUCAAACCUGAACCCAGCUCUGUGUCCUUACAGAGUGACCGGUCUAAAGGUCUUCCCGUUUAUUUUAAAGUGCAGCCUGUGUCUGCUGCAGAGAGAGUGGACCAGCAGAGCUCAGAGGUUCCCAGUGGUCAGUCUGCCCAGCAGCAUCAAACACAG
Molecule: long non-coding RNA, 440 nt
Organism: Oreochromis aureus
Lineage: Eukaryota; Metazoa; Chordata; Actinopteri; Cichliformes; Cichlidae
Exons: 5
Source: RefSeq, a predicted model, not a curated record